AUAAAGCAUCAUUAAAAUAAUCAAACAUUAUUUAGUGUUAAUAACAUUUUGUUUGUUUUUUAGUUUAAAACAGCCGAACCUUUCGUUAACCAAGUUACUAUCAAGCACUAUAUGAAAGAUUGGAAGAUUUAUAAAGGCGGAGGAUUUGGAGAUGACCCCUCUUAUUUGAAAAUGGGUGCAACACUGUAACUUUUGACCGAGGUGUGUUAAAACAUCAUCAACACAUUUAACAUGUUUUAUAACAUGUUUUAUAUUUACCUUCAAUGUUUUGUAGUUGUCAGGUAUUA
Molecule: non-coding RNA, 287 nt
Organism: Hydra vulgaris (swiftwater hydra)
Lineage: Eukaryota; Metazoa; Cnidaria; Hydrozoa; Anthoathecata; Hydridae
Source: RefSeq, a predicted model, not a curated record